GACGAACGCUGGCGGCGUGCCUAAUACAUGCAAGUCGAGCGCAGAAAGGAGGUACUUGUUCCUACGAGGUUAGCAGCGAACGGGUGAGUAACACGUGGGGAAUCUGCCUUUGAGAGGGGGAUAACUUCGGGAAACGAAUGCUAAUACCGCAUAAAAACUUUAAACACAAGGUUUAAUAUUGAAAGAUGGAUUUGCUUUAACCUAUAAAUGGCUCCGGGUGUCAUUAGCAAUUUGGUAAGUAAAGGGCUACCCAAGGCAACAGAGAUUGCCAACCCUGAGGGGGGGAUCGCCCACACGGGACCUGAGCCACGCUCCAGCCUCCUACGGGGGGAGCCAGUGGGGAAUUUUCCCCAAUGGGCGAAGGCCUGACGGAGCAACGCCGGGUGGGGGAGGAAGUUUUUCGGAUCUAAAAACUCUUUUGUUAGGGAAAAAGAUAGGUGUAAUUGACUAUGCACGUCUUGACGGUACCUACUCAGAAAGCCACGGCUAACUACGUG
RNAcentral lists this ribosomal RNA (497 nucleotides) under uncultured bacterium. RNAcentral's name for it is "partial 16S ribosomal RNA". It matches the Rfam family "Bacterial small subunit ribosomal RNA", at positions 28 to 507 of the family's 1533-position model. The record is from RNAcentral.